GACAUCAGGAGGUUAGUGCAAUGGCAUAAGCCAGCUUGACUGCGAGCGUGACGGCGCGAGCAGGUGCGAAAGCAGGUCAUAGUGAUCCGGUGGUUCUGAAUGGAAGGGCCAUCGCUCAACGGAUAAAAGGUACUCCGGGGAUAACAGGCUGAUACCGCCCAAGAGUUCAUAUCGACGGCGGUGUUUGGCACCUCGAUGUCGGCUCAUCACAUCCUGGGGCUGAAGUAGGUCCCAAGGGUAUGGCUGUUCGCCAUUUAAAGUGGUACGCGAGCUGGGUUUAGAACGUCGUGAGACAGUUCGGUCCCUAUCUGCCGUGGGCGCUGGAGAACUGAGGGGGGCUGCUCCUAGUACGAGAGGACCGGAGUGGACGCAUCACUGGUGUUCGGGUUGUCAUGCCAAUGGCACUGCCCGGUAGCUAAAUGCGGAAGAGAUAAGUGCUGAAAGCAUCUAAGCACGAAACUUGCCCCGAGAUGAGUUCUCCCUGACUCCUUGAGAGUCCUGAAGGAACGUUGAAGACGACGACGUUGAUAGGCCGGGUGUGUAAGCGCAGCGAUGCGUUGAGCUAACCGGUACUAAUGAACCGUGAGGCUUAACCUUACAACGCCGAAGGUGUUU
Molecule: ribosomal RNA, 615 nt
Filed under: Shigella boydii
Lineage: Bacteria; Pseudomonadati; Pseudomonadota; Gammaproteobacteria; Enterobacterales; Enterobacteriaceae
Description: partial 23S ribosomal RNA
Rfam family: Bacterial large subunit ribosomal RNA
Source: RNAcentral